Molecule: non-coding RNA, 57 nt
Organism: Biomphalaria glabrata
Lineage: Eukaryota; Metazoa; Mollusca; Gastropoda; Planorbidae
Source: Rfam
UGGCUGAGCGGUAAAGCGCUUGGCUUCUGAACCGAGGGUCCCGGGUUCGAAUCCUGG